RNAcentral lists this microRNA precursor (204 nucleotides) under Oryza barthii. RNAcentral's name for it is "MIR812 microRNA precursor family". It matches the Rfam family "MIR812 microRNA precursor family". The record is from Rfam by way of RNAcentral. Lineage: Eukaryota; Viridiplantae; Streptophyta; Magnoliopsida; Poales; Poaceae.
AAAAAGACAAACCCUGAUUUCCGUGCCCAAUAUUUGACCGUUCGUCUUAUUUAAAAAAUUAUGAAAAAAAUUAAAAAGACAAGUCACGCAUAAAAUAUUAAUCAUGUUUUAUCAUCUAACAACAAUAAAAAUAUGAAUUAUAAAAAAAUUUCAUAUAAGACGGAUAGUCAAAGUUGGACACGGAAACCCAGGGUUUGUCAUUUU